CGGGAUGUGGACGGAUGUGAAGGGCAGGCACGACCACGAUGCUACGCUGUUAGUACGCGCUGACGUCAGAACACGCCCUACAGUCUCGGCUGUGCAGGAGAGGGGGGCAGUAGCCUGGAGGAACAUCAUACAACAGAGGCUGGAAGUCCAUGAAACAUUUUCCUACAACUGGACAACAGCAGCUCCCACUGGCACGCUAACAGAGUGACAAUGCUGGACAGGCAUGAUGUGACUGCCUGUGUGUGAAGGAGAUAUGGAUAUUCCCAACAAACUCAUCCUGUAAGAGAGAACUGCAGUGUUCACAAGCAUCAUUUGUUGAGAACAAAAUGAAAAAUACAAAGUAGCUGUAGCAGUUUACAGUGUUUUGAUGUUUGUCUGUAUGUGUCGCCACAUAUAAGCCAUUCAAGCUUUAGUUAAUAUAAAUAUGAACUAAAUCUUUGAAUAUUAGCUUAGUAUAAAUUAAUCCUGACCCCAGAACAGAAUUGAAAUCUUUCUACAUGUGUCCUUAAACCAGCAAACUGAUGACAGUUUUAAUAUUAGCAAGUGAUGAAGAGCAAUAGAAGGUCGAGGAACUGAGGAGCAAGCAGAGCAGAGCUGAAAGAUGCAUUAAAAUGAAAGCGCUGCAAAAAAAAAAAAAGAAAGAGGGACGAACUGAUAAGAGAGAAGUAUUACUGACUAAUGCUGAGUGAUGUUUCUCGGCUUAGCUUAGGGUUGAAGGGGCUUCUUUAAAGCCCACUGUUCAGUGUACUCUGUGUGUGUGUGUGUGUGUGUGUGCACAGUUGUUGUUGCUGAUAUUUAUGAAAUCUAAUCCUUUGUUUAUAUGAAGAUUUGAGAUUUUCAAGCAUACACACACACACACACACACACACACGCACACACACACACACAGGCUUACUUCUCCACCCACACCUCUGCACUCUGAGGGUUUAGGGCGGCUGGUGUGGCAACAGACAGCUGUGAUGAUGAAAUAAUGUGGAGUAGCAGCAGUGAACCAUUAGACAUCAGAUCUGAUUUAAUUUAUCACUUACAGUAAUAAUUUCAUAGCUGUACGCUUCUUUCCUUCAGUGUGAUUUCUAACAUCUAACUCAUGCUGUUUAGGACAGCAGCUUUCAAACAUGUUCAGUCAUACAUUUUUAUUUCAAGGGAUUUGUUUUUGUUUAGUUGUUUAUUUUGUGUUGUUUUUAAAACUAGAUUAUACAUACAUUUUAAGAGAAACAAGAGCAAAUAGAGAAUAAAUGUUGACUAAUCUAACAACAGGAACACUGCAGCAUUUGUGCCAUGUUGAACACCAUGUGUGUCAGUUAUCUCAGGUUGUAACGCAUUCAGCUCUCUUUGCCAAUGUAAAAGACGAACAUAAAAUUAGACAAGAUUAAACAUAUAAAAAUGUCAAGAUAAAACAUAA
Thunnus maccoyii (southern bluefin tuna) is the source of this 1402-nucleotide long non-coding RNA. RefSeq lists it as uncharacterized. Lineage: Eukaryota; Metazoa; Chordata; Actinopteri; Scombriformes; Scombridae. The record is from RefSeq and is a predicted model, not a curated record. The transcript is spliced from 2 exons.